AUAUCUGUCGACGACAACCCACAACAUAUCUCGGUCCAUUUGUAACUUUAACAAUGAACUCCUUGAGACGGCCGUCAAUCUCUUUGUUCUCCAGCAGUUUCUUGCGGUAGUCCUGAAGCGCCUUAUCUCUAGGGUCCGCCAUGAUGAGAAGCCGUCGCUCAUAGGGGAUGCCGGGAAUGGCCAUGGCCGCCCGGGCGGGGGAAGGGGCGGGGCCUCCCUUUGACCUUUUUACUCUUCUCCGCCCUGCUC
RNAcentral lists this long non-coding RNA (249 nucleotides) under Bos indicus x Bos taurus (hybrid cattle). RNAcentral's name for it is "lncRNA (ENSBIXG00000020497.1)". The record is from RNAcentral. Lineage: Eukaryota; Metazoa; Chordata; Mammalia; Artiodactyla; Bovidae.